Micropterus dolomieu (smallmouth bass) is the source of this 866-nucleotide long non-coding RNA. RefSeq lists it as uncharacterized. The transcript has 2 exons. NCBI's taxonomy places the organism in Eukaryota, Metazoa, Chordata, Actinopteri, Centrarchiformes, Centrarchidae. The record is from RefSeq and is a predicted model, not a curated record.
UGCAACAUGAAUUGGUCCCAAACCUCAUCUGAACAUACAGUACACAACUGACUCUUAAAAGGAUUAAAACAAAAAUCAAAGACUCAAAUACUGAGAGAAUAUAAUCAUGUCAGUAAAAACCUAAAAGAAGAUAUAACUCAGGAUUGUGAGGUGGUCCGGGUUCAGCUGCAGGUUGGCGAUCCGAAGGCUCAGGUGGAGGGCGUGCAGGAGAUGAGGAAAAACGCCACUGUCCACUCCGACAUCCCCAAAAACCACCGUGCUGACGAGGAGCGGCCUCGGAACGACAGCUCAAGAGGAUGAGAGGGAAGCUGAAAGCCAUCACGGACAACCCCUCUCACCCCUCUAUGCUGAGCUGAGGCAGUUCAGGAGCACUUUCAGCCACAGACUCCUCCAGCCCCGAGCCUCAAAGCGCCUGGGAGGCUCAUUUGUGCCAUCUGCCAUCAGACUCAAAACGCCACAGCGUCUCUCAUCUCCACCGACAAACUCCAUUUUGAUCCUACUCUGACUGUAUUUGAGAGUACACACUUGUUAUUAUUUUUGUAUUUGACAGUAUAUAGUGUGUAUAUAGUUGUAAAUCUACGUAGAAUGUUAACUAAUUCUACUAAUUGUUCUUCUUUUUACAUUCAUCUGUACUGUGUAUGUACAUGUGUGUGUACUGUUUCAUUCAAUGUUAUGGUUUUAAAUGUCCCAUACAAAAAGCCGUAAUAACCAUUGUUCUUUUUAUAAAAGGGCCAUCAAUCAAAGCUUUCUAGUCUGUGAAAAUAAUCCUAGUGAUGUCAUAAGGGUUACUGUAUCUGUGUUUAUGCUCGGAGCCUACCUACAUAAAGCCCGUGUUCCAAACUGGGAGGAAAGACUUUAAAACAUGU